UUACAUACGCGUCAGAGUUUGCCUUUUUCACAUGAAAUAUUUUGUUGUUUAUUGAUGUAUCAUGACACGCUUACUCACAAUACAAGUGGUACUUGACCGACUGUCGUCGCCAUCGAAACAGGAAGUAUUUGCAGCGCUUAAAACGGACCAGAUUAUUCUAAAAGCCUUAGUUACGAGACGUACAGAGCAGAGCAGAGUCAAGACAUGUUCCUUACUUGCAAGCCAGAGCCCAGAGUCACCCUGCAACAACAGACUUAUUAGUGUUCAGUCGUCAUUCACAUUGCAAUUUUAAGCCAAGGAGUCUACAAAGUUUGAUGCUGUUUGCAGAUUAAGUCCUGAAGGUAAACAUCUGAUGAUGGAUUCCACAGGGAACGAGCGGAUGUCAGUGCUUCUGUCAAAAUACAUCGAAUGGGCUUUCAUGGUGACACAAGAAGAGCUUCCUGUGGAACAUAAUACAAAGGGUGGACUGGUAGUACACGGGGAGGUGUCUGAACGGACACAAGUAUCGUCAGGAAUCCCACAGGGAGCCGUUCUUGGAACAAUACUGUUUGGAAUGUUGUAAACGAUCUUCCGGAUAGGGUGAGCUGGUUUAUAUUCCUAUUCUUAUGACACCGAAAUAUUUUAAAUCAUUGAGAAAGACAAGGACAAGUCAAUGCUAAAAUACGAUUCGGACAGUAUGGCAGAAUGGAGCCAAAACUGGCUGUUACAAGUACACCCAUAAAAAAUGCAAACACAUGCAUAUUGGAAUACUUACAAAGGAAGAAUCCAAGUAAUAUUUUAUCAAUUAAGUACUUUUGGCACAAACGGAAUCAGAGAAAGAUAUCGGCAUCACAAUAGAUUCUAAUCUCUCAUUUGAAGACAAUUUAAGCGAAAAAGUAAUCAAGGCCAAUUUCAUGUUUGCUAUGCUGAGAAUUUUUGCCACGUACUGUAUAUCAAACACUGGUUAGAACUCACCUCGAUUUUGCCAGCUCGGCUUUUGGUCACCAUUAAAAAUCAAGGACGUAGAAAAGUUGGAAGGUGUCCAGAGGAGGUCAACAAAACAAUUACCAGGAAUGAAGGAUCUUACAUCCACAGAAAGAUUAGCCGAAGUUACCAACACUCGCCUGUAGACGGAUCAGGGGAGAUAUAUGUUAGGAGGAUAUUAAGAUAAUAAACGACAUAUACAUAUACAUGAUCGGGAAAUCAACAGCACCCUAAAGUAACGGGAUAAUGUGACAGCAAGGAACAGGGGAAUAGGAAACUUGAAAAAGUAUUUCCACAACGGACAAGGACUAGUGAGUGUAUGUUAUGGCGUAGAGCAAAUCAUUUUUCGGAGUGUAUGCUUACAGAGGGUCGAGCGUCCGAGGCGCGUAACGCCGGAGGAAGGGGAGGUUAUGGGAGGGAUCAUAGCUGAAAAACACCUACUAGGUCCUAGAAGCAUGGACUUAGAUAGCUAAUCUAAUUCUGUUUUAAAAGCAAUUUCCCGUGUUCUGGGAACUCCUUUUAGACUGAUUAUUAACAAGUAAAACCCAACUUUUCAUAUGAAUGAUAUUAAAUUUUGUACUUCUUUAAAAAAAGAAUUCAUUUACAUAUACCUUCGUGAUUUGUCAAUGUGUC
Molecule: unclassified non-coding RNA, 1596 nt
Filed under: Mizuhopecten yessoensis (Yesso scallop)
Lineage: Eukaryota; Metazoa; Mollusca; Bivalvia; Pectinida; Pectinidae
Description: uncharacterized LOC110449073, transcript variant X1
Source: RNAcentral